RNAcentral lists this ribosomal RNA (393 nucleotides) under uncultured bacterium. RNAcentral describes it as "bacterial SSU rRNA". It matches the Rfam family "Bacterial small subunit ribosomal RNA", at positions 505 to 898 of the family's 1533-position model. The record is from RNAcentral.
GUGUCAGCCGCCGCGGUAAGACGAGGUGCACAAACGUUAUUCGGAAUUACUGGGCUUAAAGCGUGCGUAGGCGGCUUAGCAAGUCGGGUGUGAAAGCCCUCGGCUCAACCGAGGAAUUGCGCCCGAAACUGCUGAGCUUGAGUGAGACAGAGGUGAGCGGAACUGAUGGUGGAGCGGUGAAAUGCGUUGAUAUCAUCAGGAACACCGGUGGCGAAGGCGGCUCACUGGGUCUCUACUGACGCUGAGGUACGAAAGCCAGGGUAGCGAACGGGAUUAGAUACCCCGGUAGUCCUGGCCUUAAACGAUGAGCACUAGCCCGAAGAUCUGCACAGGUUUUUGGGCGUAGCGAAAGUGUUAAGUGCUCCGCCUGGGGAGUAUGGUCGCAAGGCUGAA